GGCCCUAUCCAUACCACCCUAAGCAUGCCACUCUCAUCUGAUUUUGAAGGCUAAGUGAGGAUGGUCCUGGUUAGCACUUGGAUGAGAGAGUUC
RNAcentral lists this ribosomal RNA (93 nucleotides) under Dipodomys ordii (Ord's kangaroo rat). The record is from RNAcentral. Lineage: Eukaryota; Metazoa; Chordata; Mammalia; Rodentia; Heteromyidae.